UACAGAGGUCCCAAGCGUUGUUCGGAUUCACUGGGCGUAAAGGGUGCGUAGGCGGUCGGGUAAGUCUGAUGUGAAAUCUCCAAGCCUAACUUGGAAACUGCAUUGGAUACUAUCCGGCUCGAGGAAUGGAGGGGAGACUGGAAUACUUGGUGUAGCAGUGAAAUGCGUAGAUAUCAAGAGGAACACCAGUGGCGAAGGCGAGUCCCUGGACAACUUCUGACGCUGAGGCACGAAAGCUAGGGGAGCAAACAGG
Molecule: ribosomal RNA, 253 nt
Filed under: uncultured bacterium
Lineage: Bacteria
Description: partial 16S ribosomal RNA
Rfam family: Bacterial small subunit ribosomal RNA
Source: RNAcentral